ACUCCUACGGGAGGCAGCAGUGGGGAGCUUUGCGCAAUGGGCGAAAGCCUGACGCAGCAACGCCGCGUGAGUGAUGAAGGCUUUCGGGUCGUAAAGCUCUGUCGAGGGGAAAGAAGUGUAUUGUGGUUAAUACCCGCGAUACUUGACGGUACCCCUAAAGGAAGCACCGGCUAACUCCGUGCCAGCAGCCGCGGUAAUACGGGGGGUGCAAGCGUUGUUCGGAAUUAUUGGGCGUAAAGAGCGUGUAGGCGGUUUGUUAAGUCUGAUGUGAAAGCCCUGGGCUCAACCCAGGAAGUGCAUUGGAAACUGUCAGACUUGAAUACGGGAGAGGGCAGUGGAAUUCCUAGUGUARGAGUGAAAUCCGUAGAUAUUAGGAGGAACACCGGUGGCGAAGGCGGCUGCCUGGACCGAUAUUGACGCUGAGACACGAAAGCGUGGGUAGCAAACAGGAUUAGAUACCCUGGUAGUCCACGCCGUGAACGAUGAGAACUAKGUGUUGCGGGUAUUGACCCCUGCAGUGCCGCAKCUAACGCAUUAAGUUCUCCGCCUGGGAAGUACGGUCGCAAGACUAARACUCAAAUGAAUUGACGG
RNAcentral lists this ribosomal RNA (591 nucleotides) under uncultured Geobacter sp. RNAcentral's name for it is "bacterial SSU rRNA". It matches the Rfam family "Bacterial small subunit ribosomal RNA", at positions 335 to 916 of the family's 1533-position model. Lineage: Bacteria; Pseudomonadati; Thermodesulfobacteriota; Desulfuromonadia; Geobacterales; Geobacteraceae. The record is from RNAcentral.